RNAcentral lists this ribosomal RNA (497 nucleotides) under uncultured bacterium. RNAcentral's name for it is "partial 16S ribosomal RNA". It matches the Rfam family "Bacterial small subunit ribosomal RNA", at positions 29 to 508 of the family's 1533-position model. The record is from RNAcentral.
AUGAACGCUGGCGGCGUGCCUAAUACAUGCAAGUCGAGCGAACAGACGAGGAGCUUGCUCCUCUGACGUUAGCGGCGGACGGGUGAGUAACACGUGGAUAACCUACCUAUAAGACUGGGAUAACUUCGGGAAACCGGAGCUAAUACCGGAUAAUAUAUUGAACCGCAUGGUUCAAUAGUGAAAGACGGUUUUGCUGUCACUUAUAGAUGGAUCCGCGCCGCAUUAGCUAGUUGGUAAGGUAACGGCUUACCAAGGCGACGAUGCGUAGCCGACCUGAGAGGGUGAUCGGCCACACUGGAACUGAGACACGGUCCAGACUCCUACGGGAGGCAGCAGUAGGGAAUCUUCCGCAAUGGGCGAAAGCCUGACGGAGCAACGCCGCGUGAGUGAUGAAGGUCUUCGGAUCGUAAAACUCUGUUAUUAGGGAAGAACAAAUGUGUAAGUAACUAGGCACGUCUUGACGGUACCUAAUCAGAAAGCCACGGCUAACUACGUGC